AUCACGGGUUGUGGUUUUAAGUGGAUUUGGAAAGCUAAAAUUCCUUCUAAAAUCCAGAUCUUCCUUUGGCAACAUUUUCAAUAUGCCGUGUUGACUAGGGAUGUUAUGAGCAGGAGAAAUUGGACGGGGAAUCCGCGCUGCUCUUUUUGCAGCGAGAAAGACAUGUCCCAGCAUCUCUUCUUAUGCCCAUUGGCUAGGAUGAUUUGGAGAACUGUGAGAUCAGUCUUUGGCACCGAGUUGUGCCCUAACAACAUUUGGUAG
This 261-nucleotide ribosomal RNA is filed under the name Triticum aestivum (bread wheat). RNAcentral describes it as "partial small subunit ribosomal RNA". The record is from RNAcentral. Lineage: Eukaryota; Viridiplantae; Streptophyta; Magnoliopsida; Poales; Poaceae.